Molecule: long non-coding RNA, 3087 nt
Filed under: Homo sapiens (human)
Lineage: Eukaryota; Metazoa; Chordata; Mammalia; Primates; Hominidae
Description: HSALNT0159415
Source: RNAcentral
UUGAGUGGCCUAUUUCCCACCCCCUGGUGUUGGUGGAGUAGCUGUGGAACAGUGAGAGAAGGAGAGAUGAGGACUUGAACAUAUUUGGAAUAUGACCAAGAUGUCUUUACCUUUAUUGAGUCCUGACGAAAUCUGGCUGUUAUAAAUCCUGACUGAAUCCCAUGAUGUUUUCCAAGCAAAUGGGACCACUUUGUAAGAAGCAGAAGCGUCCUCUCACCAUGUGCAAGAGGAGGAGGUGUAAAUGGAGAGAAGCCACCAGCAUUUUCAGAAAGCCACAUGAUGUAACAGCCCCACUGCACCGCCUCAUUUGUGCUGGAAAAUUUUAAAUAAGAGAAAUAGAAUUCUGUUCCAUUAGCAUUGCAACAAGUAUGUUAGCAUAAUAAACUUGGUACCAGGGUGGCAUUCAGCUCCAUUUUACAUGCCCUUCUGUCUCACCUUUCCUUGCCAAUGCCAUUGAAGUCCUAAUGGAAAGACAGCCUUUGAAAGAACCCUGCUGGCUUUUUGGCUGCCUGUUGGCAACAGAGGAGAAUAGGAGGAUGGGAAUAUGCAUUUGUAAAGUUCCACUUGCUUAUCUUACUUAGGGACAGCAUUUUAUCCUUUCAAGCUCAUCUCCCAGCCACUGUAAUUAGGCUUUCCAGAAACAGUCUUGCUGCUGUCUUGACAUCACAAUAGCAUUUUGAUGAGCUUGGACAGUUACCAGUUCAUCCGUCUGGCAAGAUAUUGCUGCAUUUCCAAAGAUUUCACUGUAUCGUUGUGGAUGCCAUUAAUUCCCAGAAGGGAAAGAGAAAUAUUUUUACAACAAUAUGCAAAGAAGUCAUUCAAGAGCAGGCUUAUGGCGUUAAAACUUUUGUCUUCAAACCUAGCAGCAAGUCUUCUCAUAUUGAGUCAUUUACUUACAAGGGCAUAAAUGAGCGCACAGUUCUUUCAUUGAUGAGCAGGCAAGGGAAAACAUAAUCAGAGAAAGAGAGGGGGUGAUAAAGAGAGGUACAUGGACAAAAAGCAAGAGGGAGAGAGAUGUCUUGAGUCGAAAGCUUCUUGAGGUCAGGAUUCAGGUUUUCACUCUGGUUCUUCUUUUGAACAGGAUGGUGCAUGUGAUCAUGUUGAUACUGGGGCAACCUGUCCCAUUUGAGCAUUAGUGAUUUUGCAGUCAGACUUAAAGCGUCUAUUAUGCAUCACGGUCUCCUAUAACGUAUCUUGAACUCGACACCAGAACUGUCCAGUGCCAUGCUUUCAGGAGACUUUUGUGUAGGUGGAACAAGUCUGUCCAUAUAAGACUGCUGGUGCUGAUGCAAGUGUUCUAUUAUGUGCCAUCAAAGCGCUGGAAAUGGGGCUAGUGCAACUGAGAAACUGAAUUUUUAAUUAAAAAAAUCUUUUUUAGUGAUGGAGUCUUGCUCUGUUGUGCAUGCAGGCUGGAGUGCAGUGACACCAUCAUAGCUUACUGCACCCUUGAACGUCUGGGCUGAAGUGAUUCUCCUGCUUCCACUUCUCAAGCGGCUGGGACUACACAGUCAUGCACCACUACACCUGGGUAACUUCUAAAUUUUUUGUACAGAUGGGAGUCUCACUGUGUUGCCCAGACUGGUCUGGAACUUCUAGCCUCAGGCAUUUCUCCCAACUUGACCUCCCAAAGUUCUGGGAUUACAGGUGUAAGCCACUGUACCCAGUGAUCUUUAAUUUUUUCAUGUUAAGUAAUUAGAUAGUGCUAUGGAGGGCUGAGGGUAUCUACUGUAGGUAUUCAUGUAGCAUCUCACCCUAAAAGAGAAAUGUGCAACAACCUCCUUCCACCCCAAGGAUAGAAGAGAAUUCUUCUGAGAUCACUAACUCAACACUUUGAAAUGAAUCUCAAUCCCUCAAGUAGGAGAAAAGGGCACAUGAGUAAUAGAAUAAUGCCCCAUGCCUUGGGCUAAAGACAUGUGCCUAUUAUUUAUGCCUAUCCAUUUCUUUUUCAAAAUCUAGUCAUCGCAAAUAUUUCUAGCAUCACUGUGGAAGUGGAAAUGAUAGCUUUUGCUUUUGAUUAGCACCUGGAACCAUCACAGUGCCCAGUUGCUAGCUCAAAGACGCCUGCUCAACAGAUUCGAUGCCUAUUCUAGAAGGAAGCUUUUAAGUUUUCUUGAAAUAAAAUCCAAGUAUCUUUGCUAUGAGACAUGAUUUCCGGAUGCUGGGAGCAGGGAAAGACUGUUGUCCCCUUCUAUUUGCAAUUGUUUGAUUGCCUUUAACAACCAUCAGAAGGGAAAGAGACCUGCAGUUAAAUUUGAAAUGAUGGACAACUUGACCCCAAAAAGACCUUGCUGUAAUUUGAAUUCCUGUUGGCUGUCUGAAAGAUGCAGCUGACUGAGCUAAUGACUCUGAGACAUUUCGGAUAAGAAGAUGUAGCAAGCUGUUGGUCUACUCACAGGGAGGAAAACAGAAAAAUAAAUACCUGGAUCUCACACUCCGUUUUUCUCCUAUUUUCAGCAUUCUGCUGGUGCUCCCUGUUGAUUGAAGUCAACCAGAAUCCAGAGAGGAAGUGAGUCCAUUUGGAUAAUCCACGUAGGUCAGACUCUUGGGGGCACAAAUUAGUCUGCAGAAGAAACUACUACACAAUCUACUGGUGUUAACGUUUUACUAGUUUGACCACAGCGUAGAAUAUUACCUCCUAUUUAUAAAUGGUUUAAAUGUUCCUUUCGUGUAGAUUUAGAAGCACUUAAGACAUUAUUAUAGUUUUUACUUCAACACUCAAAUAUACUCUAGAAAACCCAAGACAAGGAAAAUGUAUUAUACAGUCAUGUGCUGCAAGAUGAUGUUUUGCUCAGUGACGGAAUGCAUAUAUGAUGGUCCCGUAAGAAUAUAAUACCAUAUUUUUACUGUAUCUUUUCUAGGUUGUGAUAAAUGAAUUUUUUUCACUGUGUUACAGUUGCCUACAGUAUCCAGUACAAUGACAUGCUAUACAUGUUUGUAGCCUAGGAGCAAUAGGCUAUACCAUACAGCCCAGACGUGUAGUAGGCUAGUCCACUGGGUUUGUGUAAGUAUAGUCUAUGAUGCUCAUGCAAUGGCCAAUUUGCCUAAUGACACAUUUCCCAGAACAUAUCCCUGUCAUUAAAAGAUGCA